ACCACUCUCUACAGCUUCCUGAAGGGAGGUUGCAAUGAGGAGGGGGUUGGCCUCUUCUCACAGUCCUGGAAAAGGCAGCCCAUGAGCUCCAGCCCACUGGACUCAUCCAGAAGCAACCUGAAGGAUCCUGGGGGGCUGAAGCCACCUGAACGAUCCCCCUGGUGCUGGCUGCAGCAGAUAGAAAGUCGCUGCAAAGAGGCAGGCCUACUUCCACCCGAUUUAUUAUUCAAGUGUAAAAGUUUAAUGCACCUAUUUGAACAAUUAAAGUAUGCUCUCGAGCGUAGUUGUCUUUUUGCUUCUGAAGAGACAAUGGCUCAUGAAUCACUAAGUGCUACGGCCGGCACCCCAGCACGGACUUAUUCAUGAGUUGCUUGUUUCUUUGUAUACACCCAGGAGGAAGAAAGAGCUUUAAUAAUAGACACCAUUAAAGAGGAUUUUAAGAAAAUUAGCAACCUCACACAAAACUCAUUGGGCUUCUGGGACAGAUUGCUCACAGCUGGAAGCCCGAUAUGUUUAAGGGUGGCUGAUCCUACUCUACUACAAUUUUUAUAAGAUUUUGGCAGUCCUGCCAUAAAAGUGUCUGUAGUACAAAGCAUGACUGGAAGAAGCAGGACCUUCCUUUGGGAAAGAACUGAGUUGGCUUUGCUGCAAUUUGCUCAGUAUUUUGGGGGGAUAUUCAUAUCAACAUGGUGCAACUGAUGAUAAUACUCCAAUUACAUUUAGUAUCCAAGCAGGAAAGAGGAAUUAAUUUCAGGGUUACCUUUGGUUAUUAAGGCUUUGGAGUGCUCAUGACCAAGUGUCUGUAACUCACAGGGCAGAAGAUUUAAAUUAUCAACCUGUGUAAGAUUUGCUUUCUUCUUUGGUUUUGAAGAAAAUGAUGCCAUCACUAAACUUUUCUUUCAUGGGCAUUAACAAUUUAUUUUGCAGUGUUAUUCUGCUGCUGUGCAAACCACGAUGGCAACUGCAUCCAGCAGCUUUACAGUUUCAGUUUUGAUGCAUUUGGGAAUGUAUUGGUUCAGAAGACUGCAUCUUGCCAAAUACUGGUAAUUGUAUUCCUUCUUCAGAAAAAUAUACUAAGUAAAGUGAAUGUUUCUGGUAGAGUUGCCCAAAAAAUCUUCCCACCUCUACCAAAAAAUGCUAUUUUGUCACAGCCAAUAUUUGCGUUAAUUCAAUCAUUCAUUGUAACAUCCACACAAGAUGAAGUCCAAUACAGAAGAAUACCAAGGUGGGGAAAAAAAAAUACCACAAUUUCAAAGCAACUUCUGCUUGAGGAGAAAGACUUGCAAGCCUUGAUGUUCAUGCAAUGUGCAUAGCAGGCUAGUUGCAGCUGCCAGGCCUGAUUUGUGGCAAUACUCCAGAACAAAUUGUUCGAUUUAUAAUUCCAUAAAGCUAUCCAGAGAAACGUAGAAGUCAAGCUGGGUUCUUUUUUCCCUUCUUGCAUGUUGCCAUCAGGAGGAAAGAUUCUUAGAGACAAAUUAGAUGUUAGAUACGUCUCUGUAAUCUUGGAGCCUUACAGAGGUUACAGGAUGGUAACUCAUACAAAAUAGUGAAGUGAAAAGACUGAGGAAAAAAAAAGCAUUAACAGUGAAAAGCUGCAAAACCUGCAGAACCCACGACCCCACAGCAUGGAAAGUUGAGGGUACUGAUAUGUCCUUCUAUGUAUGUACAACUUGCAUGUUUAAAUAUUAUUCUGACAUCAAGAACUGUAACACUGGCUUAAAAAAUUAUUUUUUUCAAAAAAAAAUAAUGAAAACUGUAUUUGUCAUCAUUACCUGACAGCACACAGUUU
Long non-coding RNA from Anas platyrhynchos (mallard), 1789 nucleotides. RefSeq lists it as uncharacterized. NCBI's taxonomy places the organism in Eukaryota, Metazoa, Chordata, Aves, Anseriformes, Anatidae. The record is from RefSeq and is a predicted model, not a curated record.